CAUGUCCGAGUGUUUGUUGUGUGUCUGCAGAGGGGAGGAGACGCGCUUCACUGCUAAGAGGGAAUCUGAGACAAACAAGCAACUGAUUGGUUUUCCUGAGGUUCCAUUGUCCUCCCGUGUAUCUAUCAUUCGUCUGUUUUUUCCACCAACACUCCUUCACGUCCUUUCUGGCUUGACGAUGACGUUUGUCUGGAUUUAUAACUGAUCUCGCUCUGCAGCUUCACUGAUGUGAAGACCACUGGACCGGAGCAGAGCAAAGACUGAGCCAAAGACCCUCAGGACUGUGCAGAGCACCAGGCUGGAUCUUAGAUCUGCUUCAUUUAAUAGAGGGACAGGAUUUAAAGAGGUUCCAGGGCUGACCCAAACCUGGCAGACCAGUCCAAUCAUCAUCAUCAUCAUCAUCACCAUUUGACAUCAGACUCUUCACCAACAAGAGGCAAUUCCACCCUAUCACAUUAAAAGGAUGUUGACCCUGUAAGUCAAACACCUUCCAAAUCGCCAUGACCAGCGUCAACUCUCCAGCCUGUCUGCUCGCCCGCAACCACUUUUAUAAAAAUUUACCUUCCAGUCCGGAGCCUUCACCGGCAGCGUUCACCUGUCAGAACGACUCCGUCAGCCAGAGACAGGUCACCCUCUGGGUCACCAUGGCAACGCCUCCUGCGUUAUCAGGUGGAAUUGAAAACAAAAGCUUGUGCAUCAACAUUGUGCUCGGUUUUCCCUCCUCUCGUUCAUCCUCCACCUCUAAACGGUCCAGCCCCGCUGAGUGGGGCGGCAAGUAGAGAGGACCAAGUGCACCUCACUGCAAAGGACGUUAAGAAACCCACAUCGACUAACUUCCCGUUUGUCUUGACGGCUCAGGAUUGGACAGCCUGGAUCAAAUGGACAUAUGUGGAUAAAAUGGACAAAUAUCACGUAAAAAGGACAUUGAAAUAUCGCAAGAGGGUCAGUAAUGUCAAAGACAAUUGAUGGUGUGAAAAUGGGCUUUGAGUGGACAGGCACUCAUUUCAUUAAUGUUUUUUUUCCAGAAGUGAUUUGGGUAAUUAAGUGCAAUAGGUGUAACCAAUAUAAAUAAAGCUGCAAUGAUUACUUCAAUGAUCAAUUCGAAAAUUGAAAGAAAGUGAAUAUGCAAUAAUUUUGAAAAUUCCUUAGCAUAUGAUAAUAUGUCACUGUUCUGUUUUCUGAUGUUUUAUAGACCAAAAGGAUAAACUGAGAAAAUAAACUACAGAAACAUUAAGUUUACAUUAAGAUACCAGCCGGAUACUGACUUUGGAUUAAAACAAAGAGGGGCAAAUAUGCACAUGCACAGUUUGGUGAUGAUUAACCUUCCAGGAUCAUACCAUGCCAUGGUUAUAUGACUUUCAGUUAAAAAACUGCUGAAAGUAUCAUUUUAGCCUUAAAGGGUAACAGGUCUGGGAUUAAGCAAACAGUAGGAACAGCAUGUACACCAAGGAUCUCCGAUGAGCAAUCGCACGGAGCAUCAAAGAGAAAUCUAUCACCUUGUUACUUAUAAGACAGAAGGAAUACGUUCAUGUCCUUCUGUCCUGUGUGCAAAAUAUGGAAGAGAUUAUUUUCAUAUGGCAGAAGAUAAUGAAGAUAAACAAAGCCGAUUGUAUGAAUUCUUGUUUUACAUUAUCCCAGAAUGAGUCUUUUAGCCAGGUCCGCUCAACAGAGGCUGCCACCAUGUUUUUACAGUAGCCAACAAAGGACUGAAUGCCUUGUUUUGAUGUGAACUGAAGGCUGCAUAGGUUCCCCUCAAGGGAAAAAAACUUAACAAUAUUAUAGCGAGAAGAGAAACCCAACAGUUCACACAAUGAGCAAGCACCAUUGGCAUCAGUAGAGAGAAAAAAAAAAAAGACACUGCAGUCCAGCCACCAUCAUUGUUCUCUCAGUGACAAGUUUCACACAUUUGUGGCUUUGUAUUAAUGUUCAAAGAAUGACCACAGUCUGAGAAAAGAAUCAGCCUGGCAAGCGGACAGCUCACCUGUGUGAAACCUGGUGUUCAAGCUGGAGCAGAUAGUUCACAAUUCAACAUGCUCAGGGUUCUUAACUCCAAUCAUAGAAUAUUAAAGAACAAUUCCUCACUUGUGAUUAUCAAAUAAAACAAUAUACAGUAA
Long non-coding RNA from Solea solea (common sole), 2114 nucleotides. RefSeq lists it as uncharacterized. The record is from RefSeq and is a predicted model, not a curated record. The transcript has 6 exons. NCBI's taxonomy places the organism in Eukaryota, Metazoa, Chordata, Actinopteri, Pleuronectiformes, Soleidae.